AACGCACCUUGCACCCUUUGGCAUUCCGAAGGGUAUGCUCGUUUGAGUGUCAUUGUACUCUCACACUCCCGAUCGUUCGAUUGGGAGCGGUGGACUUGGGUGUUGCUGCUUGCCGUGGCUCACCUCAAAUGGGUUCGUGCACCUCUUGGUUGGACAUAGUACGGCGUGAUAAGUGUCUUCGCCGGCGCCUCAGUAGAGGGUGGCCGAUCGGGAGCUCUGUGCUUCCAACCGUCCUCGGACAACGACUGACAACUUGACCUCAAAUCGAGUAGGACCACCCGCUGAACUUAAG
This 292-nucleotide unclassified non-coding RNA is filed under the name uncultured Sebacina. Its description in RNAcentral is "sequence contains 5.8S rRNA gene". The record is from RNAcentral. Lineage: Eukaryota; Fungi; Basidiomycota; Agaricomycetes; Sebacinales; Sebacinaceae.